This 407-nucleotide ribosomal RNA is filed under the name uncultured bacterium. RNAcentral describes it as "partial 16S ribosomal RNA". It matches the Rfam family "Bacterial small subunit ribosomal RNA", at positions 30 to 526 of the family's 1533-position model. The record is from RNAcentral.
AUUGAACGCUGGCGGCAGGCCUAACACAUGCAAGUCGAGCGGAGCGGCGGACGGGUGAGUAAUGCCUAGGAAUCUGCCUGGUAGUGGGGGAUAACGUCCGGAAACGGGCGCUAAUACCGCAUACUAUCAGAUGAGCCUAGGUCGGAUUAGCUAGUUGGUGGGGUAAAGGCCUACCAAGGCGACGAUCCGUAACUGGUCUGAGAGGAUGAUCAGUCAACCUGGAACUGAGACAAGGUCCAGAAUCCUACGGGAGGGAGCAGGGGGGAAUUUUGGGCAAUGGGGGAAAGCCUGAUCCAGCCCUGGCGGGUGUGUGAAGAAGGUUUUCGGAUUUUAAAGCACUUUAAGUUGGGAGGCGUUACCAACAGAAUAAGCACCGGCUAACUUCGUGCCAGCCGCCGCGGUAAUAC